AAGUCCUAUUGUAGCAGAAGGUUCUGCUAUUAAAAAAAAUAAAAAUAAAAAUAAAAAAUAAAAAUAAAAAACCUGGCUUCUGCUGAAAUAGAGCCUCCACCAAUAGAAAAAACUCCCAGCUGAAAUACAUGCUCCAUUAGCCGAAGAGGCUACUGAUUAAGCAGAGCUCAAACCUGCUGGGGAGACCCAUGCCGAAGUUCAGGCACCAACUGAACAGACUCCUGCUGCUGAGGCAGCCACUACAAUUGCAGAGGCCUCUGUUAAAGUUCAGCCUCCACCAGCUGAAGAGGCUUCAUUAGCAAAGUUUCCUGCUGAAAUUCAGCCUCCAGCU
This 331-nucleotide long non-coding RNA is filed under the name Homo sapiens (human). Its description in RNAcentral is "non-protein coding lnc-DSEL-4:1". Lineage: Eukaryota; Metazoa; Chordata; Mammalia; Primates; Hominidae. The record is from RNAcentral.